This 234-nucleotide ribosomal RNA is filed under the name uncultured bacterium. RNAcentral's name for it is "partial 16S ribosomal RNA". It matches the Rfam family "Bacterial small subunit ribosomal RNA", at positions 28 to 271 of the family's 1533-position model. The record is from RNAcentral.
GAUGAACGUUGGCGGCGUGCCUAACACAUGCAAGUCGAACGCUGGUAGCAAUAUCAGAGUGGCGCACGGGUGAGUAACACGUAGCUUACCUACCUCAAAGCGCGGGAUAACGUUCCGAAAGGAAUGCUAAUACCGCAUAAGCUCCCGGUCUGUAGAGGGCUGAGAGAAAAGGGCACUCACUUUGAGAUGGGGCGUGCGGCCCAUCAGCUGGUUGGUGAGGUAACGGCUUACCAA